UUUAGGUUAUGUGCAGUAAAUGGAUCAAACCCUAAAAUUCAUCCUUGUCCAACAGAGGCCUAACACCCAAACCAGCUCUAGGCAUUUGUCAAAAAAGAGAAGAAACACGCAUGCCUCCAUGCCGCACCUCUCGGCCGAGUGCCACGCCACGCCGCAUGCCUCCAGGUGAGUGCCGCCGUGAGGUUCUCGGAGAGGCAGAGGAGCGCCUGCAGGUCAGCAUCUGCUGCGUCGGCUGUGGUGACCAUGGCGACGCCCUUGACAUAGCUGCUGUUGGAGUCGGAGAGCGUGACGGCGGUGAGCUCGCUAUCCAUUGACUGGGCACGACGCGCGGCAGGCAUGCCGGAGACGGUGGUGAAGGCGCCGCGAUGAGCUAGCAAGCAAGGAAGAAGGGGUCGUGAGAUUUGCGUCGUGGGAGAGAGAGGACGCAUAUUUGCGUUCUGGCUCCUCUCCUACGCAAAAUGCGUGUUUCCUUUGCCUAUCCGGUUGGAGCCCGAUUUUGCGACUCAAAACACUAUAGACUACCUAUUAUGCAUUUGGGUCACGCUUUGUCUUCUUUGUUGGAGAUAGCCUAAGGGCUGGUUUGUUGCCUUGCACUUGCCCUGAUGCUGGCUAUAUGGGAAGAACAAGGUUACUUUUGUGUCCUGGGUGCUCUGCAUCUUAUGUUGCAGUUGUAGCCUACAUAAUUUCUGCCUUCCUGAGAGAGAGCCAAACCUUCAUUCCAAGGGGAAAAACCUAAGAAACUCCAUUCGGACUUUCAUUGAUGAGGACAUCACCAUGCUAGACAUGUCUACACUAUCGUCUUUUCCAAGUUGCAACUCAUCUCCAACUCAGCUGUCACGUCACCCUCGAAUUCAGCAGACACGUCGUUAAUGUUUCGAUCAUAACUUCUUCAUACGACAUCGAAAUAGGGAGAUCUUGGACUCAUUGGAAAGGGGACGACGAUGUCAUCGUUUUGGAUCUUGUCCCAGCUCCAGAUGACACGUGGAUUAAUCUGUGUGACUACGAUAAGUUGAUGCGUCAUCUAUUUUAAGCCAACUUGGCUAUGUAAUGAGUCAGACCUUAAGCCCAAGUUGUGGGCACCAUCCCUGGUCGCCUUCCAAUCCUAGGACGCCUCUCUUUUAUAUUCCACGCAGCCGCAAGCUGUCGAGACUUGGGUUUUGUUUAGAGUUUAGUUUUCCAUCGAGAAACUGAAUCGUUCAUUGUAACUGUGGUGACAAAUCCUUUUACAAUGAUCCAGUGCUCCCGUUCUUAAUCUCCUCCACUGCGUCGAUUAGUCCUUUGAAACCGAGUUCUUGAACCCUCUAUUGAUAUUCGUGUCAUUCAUAUUUGCAAUUUCAGAUUGCAUGUUUAAACCUUCUUGCUUGUGUUCUUCGAUUCGCUUGCAGGAAAAGCCUUCUUGGCGAGGUCAAUCAAGUUGUGCUUGGUUGAUAACCAACGGAUCAGUGGUGUAACGGUUGCAGGGUUCGAAUCGUGUCUGGUUUGAAGCCGGAUCGCCAACGUCGAGAUCUCCACAAAUCAAACUUACCAGUUACCUCUCAGAAGAUCGGGCAUGUACUCAUCAUUCGUUCACCUCACUCCUCCCUCCUACCUCUCUUCCUUAGCUUACUUAACCUAUCGUAAGAACUUCAAAGCAUUCAAUCGAG
RNAcentral lists this long non-coding RNA (1643 nucleotides) under Sorghum bicolor (sorghum). RNAcentral describes it as "long non-coding RNA (SBIC_LNC013470)". The record is from RNAcentral. Lineage: Eukaryota; Viridiplantae; Streptophyta; Magnoliopsida; Poales; Poaceae.